UACGUAGGGGGCAAGCGUUAUCCGGAUUUACUGGGUGUAAAGGGAGCGUAGACGGUAAGGCAAGUCAGAUGUGGAAGCCCCAGGCUUAGCUUGGGGAGAGCAUUUGAAACUGUCUGACUAGAGUGCUGGAGGGGUGGGCGGAAUUCCCGGUGUAGCGGUGAAAUGCGUAGAUAUCGGGAAGAACACCGGCGGCGAAGGCGGCCCACUGGACAGCAACUGACGUUGAGGCUCGAGAGCGUGGGGAG
RNAcentral lists this ribosomal RNA (245 nucleotides) under uncultured Lachnospiraceae bacterium. Its description in RNAcentral is "partial 16S ribosomal RNA". It matches the Rfam family "Bacterial small subunit ribosomal RNA", at positions 524 to 768 of the family's 1533-position model. Lineage: Bacteria; Bacillati; Bacillota; Clostridia; Lachnospirales; Lachnospiraceae. The record is from RNAcentral.